CCGGCGCACGGGUGAGUAACACGUAUGCAACCUGGCCGUCACAGGUGGAUAACCGGAAGAAAUUCCGACUAAUACAGCAUAACACUCCUGAGGGACAUCCUUCGGGAGUCAAAGGAGGCAACUCCGGUGACGGAUGGGCAUGCGGCGCAUUAGGUAGUUGGUAGGGUAACGGCCCACCAAGCCGACGAUGCGUAGGGGUUCUGAGAGGAAGGUCCCCACAUUGGAACUGAGACACGGUCCAAACUCCUACGGAAGGCAGCAG
Molecule: ribosomal RNA, 262 nt
Filed under: uncultured bacterium
Lineage: Bacteria
Description: partial 16S ribosomal RNA
Rfam family: Bacterial small subunit ribosomal RNA
Source: RNAcentral